UACGUAGGGGGCGAGCGUUGUCCGGAUUUAUUGGGCGUAAAGAGCGUGUAGGCGGCCAGGUAGGUCUGCUGUGAAAACUCGAGGCUCAACCUCGAGACGUCGGCGGAAACCAUCUGGCUAGAGUCCGGAAGAGGAGAGUGGAAUUCCUGGUGUAGCGGUGAAAUGCGCAGAUAUCAGGAAGAACACCCGUGGCGAAGGCGGCUCUCUGGGACGGUACUGACGCUGAGACGCGAAA
This 235-nucleotide ribosomal RNA is filed under the name uncultured bacterium. RNAcentral's name for it is "partial 16S ribosomal RNA". It matches the Rfam family "Bacterial small subunit ribosomal RNA", at positions 524 to 758 of the family's 1533-position model. The record is from RNAcentral.